This is a long non-coding RNA of Aegilops tauschii subsp. strangulata, 1687 nucleotides long. RefSeq lists it as uncharacterized. NCBI's taxonomy places the organism in Eukaryota, Viridiplantae, Streptophyta, Magnoliopsida, Poales, Poaceae. The record is from RefSeq and is a predicted model, not a curated record.
CGAGGAGCUGCUGCCCGAGGACCCCGCGGCCAAGCCCCCUUGGCCCUCCACCUCCUCCUCCCUGCGCCGCCGCCUCAGCGUGCGCCUCGGCGAGAUUGGCGUGCGGGCCACCGCACCCGACGCCCACCACAAGUCGUCGUUCCACCACCGCCUGCCCCGCCGCGGCACCCGGACGACACCCUCGAACACUCCACGGUGCCCAACGCCGACGCGGAUACGGCCCCAGGCCCGGCCAGCGCCGCCCGCGCACGGCCUGGAUCCCAGCGCCUCACGGGGCUGACGGGUACGAGCUACGAGGAGGAGGGUCAGUACUACGAUGACACCGACCAAUUUGACUCCGCUGCGGCUAGGUCCCCGGUAAUCGCGGGGCUAGCGGCGACGAGUGGUGGCGCCCCACAAACGGCUCAACGGUGGCCACGAUGCUUGCGAUUAUUUUCUCAAGUUUUCAUAUACGUUUCUUAAAACAUUCCAGGCAUUGAUUUCCUUUAACAAUUUACAUGUCAUGUGUUUCAUACAAUGCACAAGUGGAACUGUUGUGGUCUUUAAUUUCUAUGUAUGAGGAGUACAUCAUCGACUCACUAUACUAGAUGCAGUUAACCUUCAUAGUUCCUUGUUGCAACUGUUGUUCAUGUGAAGCUUACCAUAUAUUAUGUUUCAGGUAGAAAAUUUGUUGGCUCAAGAUCAAUUGGGACUGUUUGGAUCGUUGAAUUUAGGAAUAUAUGAGGCAUUUGAAUUAAGAGAUGGAGGAUUUGCUAACGUUGCGAAAGGUUUGCAAAAUGAUGGUGAUAUGCGAUGCUGGAGCAAGGAGCAGAGAGAUUUCAAAGGGACGUGCUGACGCAACACGCAGGUGGAUCUGACGAGUGGAGCGAACAGAUGUUGCGGAUGGAAGCAAGAGAAACUUAAGCUGCUGAUAAUGAAGAUGAAAGAACAAAUGAAGCUGCUAUGGAGGAAAAUUAAAGCAAACUGAAGAGUAUAUAAAGGGAAAGGGAACAAAAAGAAAAAAUAAGCAAUGUUUUGAUGCGUGUGGGGGAGUUUUGCUACUGAAGCUUGCAGCAUUGGAGUGUCCAGCAAUCAAGAGGAACUUUUGUUGUGUUAUUGACUUUGCGUUGGUUUUUGAGUUGUUGGCCUACGAUUUAGACUAGCUAGCUCUUUGGUUCUCAUCGGUUGUCGUUUUACUUGUGCUGUUUAGCAUUUUGCGGCAGCUGACUUCUUUAUCUUUGUAGCACCUGGAUGCUGUUACUUUUGUUCCGUUAUCGUCUGAUAGUGGAACCCAGUCCCUUGUUUUGGGUGUCAUAUGGAAAAAAACAUGGAUAGCGUGAGGGCCUGAGAAAACCUGUUGUCCUUGGGAGAUGCCAGGGAGUAUUCUUCAACAGUUGAUAGUUUUACUUGCAUUUUAGCAAGCUCAGUCUUUUUGGUAUACCUUUCUAUCAUCUGCUAUCCAGUUAUUAGAGGUGUGAUGUGUUAAUUCUCUGAGCACGCCAAGUUGUUCUUGGAAGUUACAACUGAAGGGCUUGGUUUUCCAGAUGAGUAAAAAAUGACAGAGCUCUUUUUUCUCAGAAUGUUAUCUUUGUAGUGGCCUGUUCAGAAACAAGUAAUGGUCACUGCCAUUUUUGUAUUUGAGUACUGUUUGUAGUUUAUAUGUAUCAAUGUAUGAAUUCAAUGAAAACAUAUGUGUUAUGUUGUGAUU